This 131-nucleotide small RNA is filed under the name Klebsiella pneumoniae. RNAcentral describes it as "RtT sRNA". It matches the Rfam family "RtT RNA". From Rfam's summary of the family: This family represents a bacterial cis-regulatory element known as RtT RNA. The exact function of RtT is unknown although it is thought that it may be involved in changing the cellular response in relation to amino acid starvation. Lineage: Bacteria; Pseudomonadati; Pseudomonadota; Gammaproteobacteria; Enterobacterales; Enterobacteriaceae. The record is from RNAcentral.
UAUUCUGCCCCACGGGGAAGGAUGAGAAGCUUCGACCAAGGUUCGACUCGAGCGAAGCGAGAGAACGUUGCCGCAGGCAAUGGCCCGCAGGCGAGGCGCUUUAGCGCCGAGUAAUCCUUCCCCCACCACUG